This 1113-nucleotide ribosomal RNA is filed under the name Salmonella enterica. Its description in RNAcentral is "partial 23S ribosomal RNA". It matches the Rfam family "Bacterial large subunit ribosomal RNA", at positions 711 to 1737 of the family's 2925-position model. The record is from RNAcentral. RNAcentral also lists the same sequence under 1 other name. Lineage: Bacteria; Pseudomonadati; Pseudomonadota; Gammaproteobacteria; Enterobacterales; Enterobacteriaceae.
AGACCCGAAACCCGGUGAUCUAGCCAUGGGCAGGUUGAAGGUUGGGUAACACUAACUGGAGGACCGAACCGACUAAUGUUGAAAAAUUAGCGGAUGACCUGUGGCUGGGGGUGAAAGGCCAAUCAAACCGGGAGAUAGCUGGUUCUCCCCGAAAGCUAUUUAGGUAGCGCCUCGUGAAUUCAUCUCCGGGGGUAGAGCACUGUUUCGGCUAGGGGGCCAUCCCGGCUUACCAACCCGAUGCAAACUGCGAAUACCGGAGAAUGUUAUCACGGGAGACACACGGCGGGUGCUAACGUCCGUCGUGAAGAGGGAAACAACCCAGACCGCCAGCUAAGGUCCCAAAGUCAUGGUUAAGUGGGAAACGAUGUGGGAAGGCCCAGACAGCCAGGAUGUUGGCUUAGAAGCAGCCAUCAUUUAAAGAAAGCGUAAUAGCUCACUGGUCGAGUCGGCCUGCGCGGAAGAUGUAACGGGGCUAAACCAUGCACCGAAGCUGCGGCAGCGAACGUAUCACCCAAGACAACUUUACGGAGUUGACGAUUGACGGAGCGAAGCGACGUCAAAGCGUUCAUUAAAGUCGAGUUGGCUUAGGGAUACGUUCGUUGGGUAGGGGAGCGUUCUGUAAGCCUGUGAAGGUGUGUCGUGAGGCAUGCUGGAGGUAUCAGAAGUGCGAAUGCUGACAUAAGUAACGAUAAAGCGGGUGAAAAGCCCGCUCGCCGGAAGACCAAGGGUUCCUGUCCAACGUUAAUCGGGGCAGGGUGAGUCGACCCCUAAGGCGAGGCCGAAAGGCGUAGUCGAUGGGAAACGGGUUAAUAUUCCCGUACUUGGUGUUACUGCGAAGGGGGGACGGAGAAGGCUAUGUUGGCCGGGCGACGGUUGUCCCGGUUUAAGCGUGUAGGUGUGUGUUCCAGGUAAAUCCGGUUCACUUUAACACUGAGGCGUGACGACGAGGCACUACGGUGCUGAAGCAACAAAUGCCCUGCUUCCAGGAAAAGCCUCUAAGCAUCAGGUAACACGAAAUCGUACCCCAAACCGACACAGGUGGUCAGGUAGAGAAUACCAAGGCGCUUGAGAGAACUCGGGUGAAGGAACUAGGCAAAAUGGUGCCGUAACUUC